AAAACACAUCGUCCUUCUUCUUCCUUUUAUUUGGUAGGAAUUUUAUCAUUUUCAGGAAUUAAAGGUUUUUCUUCCAUAUUCUCUUCAGCUUGAUAGUAUUGAGUAAAACAUAAAUCUCAUCCAAUACUUCAUCUAUUUCCCCUCUUUUAUCAACCUUAUUGCUAGGUGAAUGACUCUUCUUUUGUUGAAGAUCUUGUAGUUGGACAUCUACGUCUAAAUGACUUAUUGAAUUUUGAGCUUCAUCCAAAACUAUAUAAUCUUCAUAUUGCAAUUUUUUU
RNAcentral lists this long non-coding RNA (278 nucleotides) under Lathyrus oleraceus (garden pea). RNAcentral's name for it is "Pisum sativum (pea) long non-coding RNA (PSAT_LNC023142)". Lineage: Eukaryota; Viridiplantae; Streptophyta; Magnoliopsida; Fabales; Fabaceae. The record is from RNAcentral.